This 393-nucleotide long non-coding RNA is filed under the name Homo sapiens (human). RNAcentral describes it as "HSALNT0275035". Lineage: Eukaryota; Metazoa; Chordata; Mammalia; Primates; Hominidae. The record is from RNAcentral.
CAGGCGCCGGGAGCUCACUGGGAGUUCCAGGAACCAAAUGGUGAUAAACUAGGAAUGGAGAGAGGGCUUGCUGCUGUCUGAGAGCUCAGGUACAGGUCAUGGAAGAUGGAUGAGAGGACAUUCGCCUGGGGCUUUUGAGGAAUUCUUUGAUUCCCUGCCAUCCUUGAGUUGGGUGAGGACAGAGGUGGCUUCUUGCAUCCUUCUUCCAAGGCCAGGUGAGGAGCUGGACUCUGAUCACAUGAGGUCUUUUAUUUGGGGCGGCUCUGCUCUACUCCCCUCUGCCUUGGCAGCUGGCUGAACAGACACAGUGACAGCCACUCAUUCAAUGCAUUGUUUAUUGAGUACUAACUAGCUUUGGGCCCAGGCUCUGGGUUAGCAGCAUGCGUGAAACAA